GGCCCCGCCGGCUCGCGCGUCCCGCCGUCCGCCCACCGGAGCUGGGCCGGGCAGCCGCGCUUGCUUCUGCCCGCCGCACCGGGGCCGGCCCUGGGCCUCCGCGGAUGCCGAGCCUUGCACCGGAGGGCGGGCCUCGCUGGCUGUUUUCCCUCAUUGCCUGGCUCUGCGCGGUAGAGGUCGCGAGUGGCGAAGGCUAGGACGCAUUUUGUCGAACUGCGAGGCGCGGCUGGUGAGGCGGGACCAAAGAAGUAAACACUGUGUGGAGAGGGACUGAGGUGUUUGGAGGGAAAUGGGAAUGUACACGAUAAUUAAAGAGUAAAGUUGUGCUCAACGCUGUUUACUUCUAAUUAUUUCCUGAUUCACAAAUUAAUUUUUGCAAUUCACAACUUCA
This 391-nucleotide small RNA is filed under the name Pan troglodytes (chimpanzee). Its description in RNAcentral is "processed transcript". The record is from RNAcentral. Lineage: Eukaryota; Metazoa; Chordata; Mammalia; Primates; Hominidae.